UCACACCAUUGAUUACUCGCCAUUCACACCAUUGAUCACUCGCCGUUCACUCCAUUCACUUGCCAUUCACUUCGCCCUGCACCCCGCCGCCCACAGCCACCGCAAUCUCUGCCGCCACUGCAGCCACGCAGCCCCCGCAUCAGCCCUCGCAGCUCCCCGCAACCCCCACAGCCUCGCAGCCCCUCAGCGGUGCAGCCACCGCAGCCCCUACACAGACACAGCCUCCACCGCCACCGUAGAAGAUCCGUUGAAGAUGUGACAGCCUCCAUCACUUUUUCACGUUUUCUUUGGAUUACUCCCUGCCUUCUCUCUCCGUUGAAGAUGUGACAUCCUCCGCUGUCGCCGCCGCCGCGGCUCGCGUAGCAUGAACUCUCUCCGUCGCCCUCAUCGCGUUUGUUCCCUUCGUUGCCAUCGUCGUACGAGCUCUCUCCGCCGUGCUCUGGUCUUACGAGCUCCUUCCGCGCCGCUCUCGUCACUGCUUCUUCUCUCCUCGCCGGAGGUUUGUCAUCAUCUCUUUUCGUCGCCGUUAGUUUAGGAGAAGGUUACGAACCCGUACAAAUCCAGAGGAAGAAGAGGAUCCUGAAGCAGAGGUUGAAGGUUCCACCAGCUUUGAACCAGUUCACCAAGACCCUUGACAAGAACCUAGGCAGGAGGUCUUGUUUUUAGAUAAUGAGAUUGCCUUCAAUGAGGCUAUCAUUGAAGAAAGAGAGCAAGACAUUCAAGAAAUUUAGCAGCAAAUUGGUGACGUAAAUGAAAUUUUUAAAGAUCUUGCUGUGCUUGUGCAUGAACAGGGAGCUAUGAUUGAUGAUAUUGGGUCCAACAUUGAGCAGUCUCAUGCAGCAACUGCACAAGCAAGAUCGCAACUUGCUAAAGCUUCAAAAACUCAAAGAUCAAAUUCUUCUUUGGUAAUAUACAUUGUGUAAUAUUUGCUUUAAGAUUUCACCUCUCACGUGUUGUUUUAGAUGUUGGGUGUGGGAGCCGUGCUUCCUUGUUCUUCUUCUUCUUCUUCUGAGCUCAACCCUGCAAUUCGGUCAGAGGUUUCAUUUUAUGUUGGUCUUGCCUCCUUCCUCAUCCAGACAAGAUUUUUCUUCUGCUGCAGUAGAUUCUAUUCAUUCAGAUUAACUACUAAAAGGUCUAUACAUGAUUUUUUAAAUCUUUGGGCUUGAGAUUGCAGCUUAUUCUUCAAUGAUUGACUGGGAUAUUUGUGCUUAUCUAUGGUUUUGUUGAGAGAAAGCAGUUUUCUGCUGACAUCUCCUCCAAGUUAGGAAGUAGUUUCUCUAUUGUUCCCUUUGUCAUUGUGGUGGUAAGCAUUCUGCCUUGUCUUUCUCUUAUCUUAGUACAUGGCUACUAUACUGCUAUAACAUAUUACUUUAUUACAUGUUCAAAAAUCGGAAUAUAUUUCAUUUCUUUUGUUUUCAGUCUGUUUGCACCAUUCUGACUAUGAUUGCUACCUUACCUGUUGCACAACUUUUCUUCUUUCACAUCCUCCUUGUUGAAAAGGUAACUUGGCAGUUGCUUGCUACAUCAUUAAUCUGGUUCAAUGUGUUAUUUCAUUUGUAAAACAUUAGGCAUUAAGAGGAAAAAAGAAAGCAAAAAGAAAAUGAUGGAAGCUAAUUGAAAAAUAUUCUGAUAUUUGUGUACCCUUUUAUGAAUCUUCUACAAGUUCAUCUUUCUAGUAAUUCUCAUUAAGUGUACAUUUUUGGUGCCAAAUGUUAUGGUUAUUGCUGAGUUACUUAAGGAAUUAGCACUUAUGCCAAAUGUCAACUGUUAGCUCACUUACUGGAUUCAGCAGUGCGAGCUCCUUCACUAUGUUCCAGCAGUGCGAGCUCCUUCAGUAUGGGUUUUCAUGUUACAGUCAACGAGGCUCUCUUGGCUGUUGCAGAGAUUUGAGUUCAGUGUCCGUUACAAUUACCGUUACCAUGUCCUCUGAUUCCAUUCCUGAAAAUGAAAACCUCAUCCUUGUGCUGCUUAUCUCUAUUUUACCUUCCUUCCAUUUUCAUUUUUUGAAGCUCAAAACAUGUUCCCUUUCUAAUUCUCAUUUCUCCCUCUCUGUUUAUGUGCAGUUAGGGUGUGGAUCAGUGUCAAUUGAUUUGUUGGCCACUGUUGCUGCUUAUCCCAAACCUGAUGAAAAAAUCAAAAGCACUUCUUUCAAGGUUGAAGGAGGUGGCAAUGCAGCAAAUGCUCUAACCUGUGCUGCUCGCUUGGGACUCAAGCCAAGGCUUAUAUCCAAGGUUGCAGAUGACACUCAUGGCAGGGCCAUAAUAGAUGAAUUACAGGCUGAUGGUGUUGAUACAUCUUUUAUAGUGAUAAACUAACUGUUUGCAAUCUCCAUGAAGCUUUUUGUUUCUGUGAUCUUCAGUUUCUAGUCUUGCAGUUAUCUGAUUUGUUUCUAGUUGUUGGUCGGUAAAUUACUCUUUAUUAUGCAUGUGUAAUUUAUCUUAUUGUGUUAUCUACUUCUCUUUUAUCUGCAGGUAUCCGAGGAAGGGACUUCACCAUUUACUUAUAUCAUUGUGGACAGUCAAACGUAAUGAUCAUUCUAACUGUUGUCAAUCUUUAUUGAAAAUUUGACCUAUAUAGUACUCUCAAUUCAUUACUUACUCUCUUGAUUGUUUUGACUCAUUGUACUAAUCCUAUCUGCAUAUGGCUACACCAUCUUUCUUUAUUGAGUAAUUUGGUUAUCUGAAUUUCAGAAGGAAAAUAAGGGCAUUGAUUAGGUGGAUCUAAUUGAGAAUCUAGUCAAAGUCCCGUGCUUGGAUUUGCUCAUAAAAUAGUGGAUUGUGUUGUAUUUUUAUUUUUCUUGAAUAGAAAAAUCAAAGUAAACAAAAGUUGCAAACCCUUUUUUGCCUAUACUUCUCUUUUUAUUUUUCUUGAAUAGAAAAAUCAAAGUAAACAAAAGUAAGCAGGUUAAUACUGGAAUUCUCUGUUCUAUGAUAUUUGGCAAAGUUUUUCAUGAGAAAAAUGUCUUGAUAUGCCUUUCACUCGAAGGCAGAGUAGCUGAAAAUCAGACAGGUUCAUCUUUUAUGAACUAAAAAUCGAGUCAAUGAGGCAAUGAUGCUCUUCAUGAAAUUGAGUUAGUCCUUGUUCUAGCUGUUAAAUACUAACUGCUAAAUCCUCUGUUAAAUCUUGCUGAUCAAAUUAUCUUUUUUGCAAAGCCUGGAGCAAUUAUUGGUCUCUCUGGAAUCUUAAGUGAACAGGUGUCAAAAAUAUUCACUAUUCUUAGAAGGCAUAGAAGUGUCGAAAAUGGAUGACUGGGUCUGUGUGAGUGGCAGAAAAAUAAAUAAUAUAGAGUUGAUGUAUACUAAGAAUUAUAGUUGAUGAUCAACACAUUUUGUUUAUGUUUUGAAUUAUAUUGAGUUGCUUGUUUAUAGUACUUUUCUUUUAGUUUGAUAAUACGAUGAAUUUGUUUAUUUUUUGAAAUAUUAUAAAUAUUCGAAUAAAAAUUAGAUAAAAAUUUGUAUUAAAUUUA
RNA transcript from Arachis stenosperma, 3466 nucleotides. RefSeq lists it as uncharacterized. Lineage: Eukaryota; Viridiplantae; Streptophyta; Magnoliopsida; Fabales; Fabaceae. The record is from RefSeq and is a predicted model, not a curated record. The transcript has 9 exons.